Molecule: ribosomal RNA, 368 nt
Filed under: Mysella vitrea
Lineage: Eukaryota; Metazoa; Mollusca; Bivalvia; Galeommatida; Montacutidae
Description: partial 16S ribosomal RNA
Rfam family: Bacterial large subunit ribosomal RNA
Source: RNAcentral
CCCGGUGAAUAAUUUUGAUAGGUGUUUAAACGGCCGCAGUUGAGAGCUGUGCUGAGGUAGCGUAAUAAUUUGUCCUUUAAUUAAGGAAAGGAAUGAAUGGUUUGACGUAAAAACUUCUGUCUCCUUUUUAGAUAAAAAAGUUUUCUUCUUGGUGAAAAGGCCAAGAAAAAAAUAAAAGACGAGAAGUCCCUAUCGAGCUUGAUUGGGUUGCUAUCUUUUUGUAGGUGGUUGUUGAAGUUUGGUUGGGGCAAUUUAGGAGCAAAGUAAGACUUCUAUUUAAUUCAUGGAGCCAAAAGGUUUGAUAUAAGGAAAAAGUUACCGUAGGGAUAACAGCGUUAUCUUUCUUGAGAGAACAAAUUGAAGGGAAG